UCGAUUAUUCGCACCAUCUUCCAGAUGGUGGGUUAGCGCGCGGUUCCACAAGUUCACGCCAUACGACCCGCCCCACGAGGCGGGUUUU
Molecule: non-coding RNA, 88 nt
Organism: Variovorax sp. Root473
Lineage: Bacteria; Pseudomonadati; Pseudomonadota; Betaproteobacteria; Burkholderiales; Comamonadaceae
Rfam family: Pseudomonas sRNA P9
About the family: P9 appears to be conserved in several Pseudomonas species in addition to Bordetella spp. In both Pseudomonas and Bordetella spp P9 appears to be located upstream of a predicted threonine dehydratase gene. P9 has a predicted Rho independent terminator at the 3' end but the function of P9 is unknown.
Source: Rfam